CUCAGUUAACUUUUUAAUAAUCUUAACAAGUAUAGGUUCACACUCUGUUUAUAACUUUGUGUUAUGUAGUUUUGUACAUAUUCUGUGCGUGCAAGGCAAAAAUAACAAUGAAGGUAGAAAAUAAACUCUCCUCCAGGAUAAGAGGAAGGCUCGGGUCAGACAUCACAGGGAGGUGAACUGAGGUCUGCUCUUAUAAAACACACACACCAUUCACAACAACCACCCUGAGAGAAACACAACAUUUUCCUCUGAUUAUAUAGUUUUGUUUUUAAUCUAGUGACUCUGGAGAAAAUUAUUUAGCUGACUAAAGGAGUGAUUGGAUGGAUAUACGAAUAUAAUAUAUUCAUGUGAUCCCACAAAAAUGAGUGAGCGGAGCUUUAGUGUCCCAUGUAUUCAGCUGGAGAUUAUAAAAAGGCUUAAUGUGAAAACAAGGCAAAAAGAAAAAUUUAAAAUACGAGACUAAAAUAAAUACUUGUAAUAAUUUUCAGUGCAUAUAAAUGUGAAUGCUUUUUUCCACCUGUUUGGAGAUACUUGUACAACCAAAAUUUCUUUUAAAAAAAUCAAUGCAAUUCAACGUAUGAUGCCAAACUCUGAACAGCUCAGGUCAGCUCACCAGUAAACCUCAUAGGGUCAGCGUUAGGUGGUAUUUUAGCCAAAUGCAACACAAACAUAGUUUCAGAAACGAGAAGAUACUAACGUUCAAAUCUUUUGCAAACGUAUAAACUUACUGUUGUUCUAUUCCAUUUGGGUACAAACAGUGAACUUAAUCCUAAGUUCUAAAUAUAGUAGCACCAACCACCUGAUGGAUCUCAAGAGGUUAAUUUUUAAUUUUACUUGUACUUGACUAAAAGGUCUUGUGCUGUACUCCUGAUUGAAUGUUGUUAAAGAAGAAUUUCAGCUAUCCUUACGUGUCCAAACUAAAGAUAAGGCUGAACCGACAUAUGACAAAUGAAAAGAAACUGGGCAUGACAGUUGUAUGUGAACACUGCAAAAGUAAAGUAUUUCUGUUUUAUGCAUUUGAUUUUGAACAACCCUGAACACUUUUAGUUUAUGAGGAAAUCCAACUCGUAUCGUUCUUGACUUUUGGAGGACGAAAUCAAAGAAUUAAAGUUUGGAGUUCAUAGCAACAUUGCACAAUGCCAAGCAGUUUUCACUGGGCACUACUGUGGUCCUGCAGAGAUGUUACAUGCUGUGUUGUGCACUGCAUGGAAAGGGGAAAAGCAAUAGGAAUAGACGAGGCCAUUUUCACCUCCAGACCAUCUAUUUCAGUAGUAAAGGAUUCACUUCUUGUGCUUACUUAGAAAUUAAAUCUAAUAAAAUACACAAACAUACAAAACAAUUUAGACAUACCCAAAGUACCUUUUCCUUGUAGUUGGUCUUAAGCCUGAGUCAGACUAGAAUAAAAACAGGAUGGCCUAUUUGCGAGCAGAAAAACACAGUUGCUGAGAGACAGCACUGUUUUUUGUUUUUGCUGUCAGCAACCAUGUGAAAGUAGUUGCUGUGAAGUUGAACAUACAGCACCCUUCUCUUAGUCACAAGGCACAGGUCGCCUGUUGGGAGUCAACCUGUCUCCAGACUUGCAAUGACUGCCGUCACACUCAAAUAGGAAAAAGGUUUCCAAAUAACCCUGAUCUAGUUUCUAAAUACAGACAAACUGACUACAGGUUACAGUCAGUCGGAUGAUGAUGAACACAACUUAUCUGCUUCACCAAGUGGAAAUAUAAUCCAACGAAUCACACAAACCUGAUUUAGUCAGGUUCAUGGCUCGCAUUUUACUGCAACUUGUGUUGAAUUUAAUGCCAGAUCAACAUGCCUGAUUUUUGUGUGAUAGCUGCUGCUAUGAGUGCUCAUUUGUUUGGGGAGAUGUUAGCAGAACAAGUACACAAUCAGCACAGGACCAGCUUAAAGCUGCGAGCCAAGAGCCAGAACGUUGGCUCUGUCCUGUAGAUCCUUACUGAGUUGUCAUUCUGAGCGUCGAGAGCCAAGCCCCACAUGUUCCUGCAUUCCAGUGCUUUAGUCACAUUUUUACACAGAGACCAGUAUACAAUGAAAACAUUUUGUUUCUCUGCAGCGUGCACACUUUGCUUGACAGGUGCUAUUACAUAGAUUCAUGUUUAAAUGUUACAAUACAUAAUACUGACUUUAAUAAGAACCUAGAAUUUAACAGAGUCUGCAGAAAAACCCAGAGAGUGACACAGAAACAGUAUCUUCAUUAACACAGAUGGAUCGGGAUCUGACAGUAAAAUAUGUCUUGUGCUCUUUACAUCACACAUUUGCGCUGCUAUGCAUAGAUUUCAGGUUUAAAUAGUUUGUAAUAAACCAGCUUUUCUAGCUAAACCCUGCACGCCCCUGAGUGUUGGUCCUCAGGGCCCACACACACAGUUGUAUCAGAAGAGCUCACUUUUAAAACAAUCCUAUUGGUUCUUCUAUAGUCCCCCUUUAUUUCUGUUUCUUUCUCUGUUUUCAGAGAGAAACACAAGAGCCAAACCUGCUUUUACACUGUGUUAUAUUUGUUAAUACAUUACUUGCUGCCUCACUUUUGAGCAGCAAAUUUGCACCGCUCUUACUAAAAUUCUGAUCAUUGCUGAAAUGAAAUAGCUGCAUCUUUGUUUGUUCCUAAAUGUAUAAAUUGUAAAUUUGCCACAUUUAUUUACUCUGAUUGAGUCAGACCUGCUGUGUAGGGAUUCUGCACAAUCCAUGAACUGCUUAUCAAGCUGACUGUUUAAGGUGGGCCGCACCUCACGUCAUCAUGUAUUAUGCCUGUGCUGCAAGUGGCUAGUCCAUCCUUGCAUUUGGUAUUCCACUGCUUCACUGAAAUUUGCAACACUUAGCAAACAGAUUUGCAAUUUUUCCCAGUUUAUAACAGGUAAUUGACAUAUUAUUACAAACGAACUGCAUGUAAAUGCUAACUUGACCCCAGCUGAUUAUAGUCUGACUUUUAUCUUAUUGCCCUUUUAUCACUGUCUUAAUGGACCAAAGCCACUUUGAAGAUGUAACUCACUACACGUGGUUACAGGCCUGGUGCCCAUCUUCAAAGACACCAUUUGAAAGGCUUGACCACAAGCUGAUUGCACACAGAUCCAAUCACUUUGGUGGCUCCGAGGCCUCCAACCCUAGCGUGACUGUAACUGAAACUAAGCUUAACAAUAAUGAUCACAUUAAGUAUUGUCAUAUAGAUCAACUCAGCAAAUGAACCCUAUUCACGUGUUUAUAGCAAAAGUGGUGUUUGCACUGAUGACCAAAAAUCAACAACCGUAUAUAGAGUUGCAUACGUAUGUCAAGCAAACUACAACCAGAAAAAAAAAAGAGGAUUUUGAAAAUAUAAUGCAAACUAAAAAACUGCUUCUGAAGGGAAACUGACUUAAUAUGCUGCCUUCGUCAUGAGUAUCACUGCCUCUUCAUUAAGGCACGUGUAGAUCUGCCUAUACAAUUGCUUUUUAUGUAAACAUGCUGCUAAAAUUUAUUCUUAUGCUGCAUGAGACAGUUGUAGCCUUACUCUUUCUGUGGUCGUCAGGAAAAUAAGCAAAGAACAAAUAUGAAAACAAUGUUUUAUAGUCUUGAUAUCUUUUCUUGAACAUAAUGAACUCAGAGCAUGUUAGGC
This is a long non-coding RNA of Astatotilapia calliptera (eastern happy), 3601 nucleotides long. The record is from Ensembl. Lineage: Eukaryota; Metazoa; Chordata; Actinopteri; Cichliformes; Cichlidae.